RNAcentral lists this ribosomal RNA (702 nucleotides) under Bacillus cereus. RNAcentral's name for it is "bacterial SSU rRNA". It matches the Rfam family "Bacterial small subunit ribosomal RNA", at positions 56 to 739 of the family's 1533-position model. Lineage: Bacteria; Bacillati; Bacillota; Bacilli; Caryophanales; Bacillaceae. The record is from RNAcentral.
UGCAGUCGAGCGAAUGGAUUAAGAGCUUGCUCUUAUGAAGUUAGCGGCGGACGGGUGAGUAACACGUGGGUAACCUGCCCAUAAGACUGGGAUAACUCCGGGAAACCGGGGCUAAUACCGGAUAACAUUUUGAACUGCAUGGUUCGAAAUUGAAAGGCGGCUUCGGCUGUCACUUAUGGAUGGACCCGCGUCGCAUUAGCUAGUUGGUGAGGUAACGGCUCACCAAGGCAACGAUGCGUAGCCGACCUGAGAGGGUGAUCGGCCACACUGGGACUGAGACACGGCCCAGACUCCUACGGGAGGCAGCAGUAGGGAAUCUUCCGCAAUGGACGAAAGUCUGACGGAGCAACGCCGCGUGAGUGAUGAAGGCUUUCGGGUCGUAAAACUCUGUUGUUAGGGAAGAACAAGUGCUAGUUGAAUAAGCUGGCACCUUGACGGUACCUAACCAGAAAGCCACGGCUAACUACGUGCCAGCAGCCGCGGUAAUACGUAGGUGGCAAGCGUUAUCCGGAAUUAUUGGGCGUAAAGCGCGCGCAGGUGGUUUCUUAAGUCUGAUGUGAAAGCCCACGGCUCAACCGUGGAGGGUCAUUGGAAACUGGGAGACUUGAGUGCAGAAGAGGAAAGUGGAAUUCCAUGUGUAGCGGUGAAAUGCGUAGAGAUAUGGAGGAACACCAGUGGCGAAGGCGACUUUCUGGUCUGUAA